This 107-nucleotide ribosomal RNA is filed under the name Acinetobacter baumannii. The record is from RNAcentral. Lineage: Bacteria; Pseudomonadati; Pseudomonadota; Gammaproteobacteria; Moraxellales; Moraxellaceae.
CCAUAGCAAGAGUGAACCACCUGAUCCCUUCCUGAACUCAGAAGUGAAACCUCUUAGCGCUGAUGGUAGUGUGGGAUUACCCAUGUGAGAGUAAGUCAUCGCCAGCU